UACGUAGGGGGCAAGCGUUGUCCGGAAUUAUUGGGCGUAAAGCGCGUGUAGGCGGCUCGAUAAGUCUGCUGUGAAAGUCCAGGGCUCAACCCUGGAAUGCCGGUGGAUACUGUCGAGCUCGAGUCCGGAAGAGGAGAGUGGAAUUCCUGGUGUAGCGGUGAAAUGCGCAGAUAUCCGGAGGAACACCAGUGGCGAAGGCGGCUUUCUGGACCGACACUGACGCUGAGGCGCGAAAGCUAGGGGAGCAAACGGG
Molecule: ribosomal RNA, 253 nt
Filed under: uncultured bacterium
Lineage: Bacteria
Description: partial 16S ribosomal RNA
Rfam family: Bacterial small subunit ribosomal RNA
Source: RNAcentral